This 775-nucleotide ribosomal RNA is filed under the name Salmonella enterica subsp. enterica serovar Infantis. RNAcentral describes it as "partial 23S ribosomal RNA". It matches the Rfam family "Bacterial large subunit ribosomal RNA", at positions 2028 to 2802 of the family's 2925-position model. The record is from RNAcentral. Lineage: Bacteria; Pseudomonadati; Pseudomonadota; Gammaproteobacteria; Enterobacterales; Enterobacteriaceae.
GAGACUCAGUGAAAUUGAACUCGCUGUGAAGAUGCAGUGUACCCGCGGCAAGACGGAAAGACCCCGUGAACCUUUACUAUAGCUUGACACUGAACAUUGAGCCUUGAUGUGUAGGAUAGGUGGGAGGCUUUGAAGCGUGGACGCCAGUCUGCGUGGAGCCGACCUUGAAAUACCACCCUUUAAUGUUUGAUGUUCUAACGUGGAUCCGUAAUCCGGGUUGCGGACAGUGUCUGGUGGGUAGUUUGACUGGGGCGGUCUCCUCCUAAAGAGUAACGGAGGAGCACGAAGGUUGGCUAAUCCUGGUCGGACAUCAGGAGGUUAGUGCAAUGGCAUAAGCCAGCUUGACUGCGAGCGUGACGGCGCGAGCAGGUGCGAAAGCAGGUCAUAGUGAUCCGGUGGUUCUGAAUGGAAGGGCCAUCGCUCAACGGAUAAAAGGUACUCCGGGGAUAACAGGCUGAUACCGCCCAAGAGUUCAUAUCGACGGCGGUGUUUGGCACCUCGAUGUCGGCUCAUCACAUCCUGGGGCUGAAGUAGGUCCCAAGGGUAUGGCUGUUCGCCAUUUAAAGUGGUACGCGAGCUGGGUUUAGAACGUCGUGAGACAGUUCGGUCCCUAUCUGCCGUGGGCGCUGGAGAACUGAGGGGGGCUGCUCCUAGUACGAGAGGACCGGAGUGGACGCAUCACUGGUGUUCGGGUUGUCAUGCCAAUGGCACUGCCCGGUAGCUAAAUGCGGAAGAGAUAAGUGCUGAAAGCAUCUAAGCACGAAACUUGCCCCGA